RNAcentral lists this ribosomal RNA (468 nucleotides) under uncultured bacterium. Its description in RNAcentral is "partial 16S ribosomal RNA". It matches the Rfam family "Bacterial small subunit ribosomal RNA", at positions 28 to 507 of the family's 1533-position model. The record is from RNAcentral.
GACGAACGCUGGCGGCGUGCUUAACACAUGCAAGUCGAACGGAAAGGCCCUGCUUUUGUGGGGUGCUCGAGUGGCGAACGGGUGAGUAACACGUGAGUAACCUGCCCUUGAUUUUGGGAUAACUUCAGGAAACUGGGGCUAAUACCGGAUAGGAGCUCCUGCUGCAUGGUGGGGGUUGGAAAGUUUCGGCGGUUGGGGAUGGACUCGCGGCUUAUCAGCUUGUUGGUGGGGUAGUGGCUUACCAAGGCUUUGACGGGUAGCCGGCCUGAGAGGGUGACCGGCCACAUUGGGACUGAGAUACGGCCCAGACUCCUACGGGAGGCAGCAGUGGGGAAUAUUGCACAAUGGGCGGAAGCCUGAUGCAGCAACGCCGCGUGCGGGAUGACGGCCUUCGGGUUGUAAACCGCUUUCGCCUGUGACGAAGCGUGAGUGGCGGUAAUGGGUAAAGAAGCACCGGCUAACUACGUG